This is a long non-coding RNA of Manduca sexta (tobacco hornworm), 413 nucleotides long. RefSeq lists it as uncharacterized. The transcript has 3 exons. The record is from RefSeq and is a predicted model, not a curated record. Lineage: Eukaryota; Metazoa; Arthropoda; Insecta; Lepidoptera; Sphingidae.
AUCAUAAUUCAGUGCUUGCUUCACUGUACAGACGUAAACAAUUGCAAUAAAGAUGAAAACCCUGAUCUUCUUGGUGCUCGCGGUUCUUGGAGCCCAUGCCGCUAACCUCAACGUUGGAUCUAUCGCUGCUGGAGACAGACUUUUGCAUAGCUCUACCGUCUACCGCCCCCCUAGGGCUAACGCGGUCCAGUCCGAAAAUGUCUCCUUCUAUGGCAACCGUAAUACAAGGAUCACCGCAGUGCAGGCGCAAGAAGUAGGAGCCAGCCAGCGUGCGUCCGCUAGAAUCAUUUCUGGAGGCCUUGGCCGCAAUAAUGUCACUGUUAGAUUCCAAUCCGCGGUUGGAAGAGGAUACAACUACGUCUUCAGGGUUUGGGGACGUUAAAAAAGACACGAUUUUUAAAAAUGACGGUAGU